CAUUGAAACACUGGUUCCUGUAUGAUCACCAAAGUUAAGCAAUGUUGAGCCUUGUCAGUACCUAGAUGGGUGACUGCUUGGAAAUAUCAGGUACU
Molecule: non-coding RNA, 95 nt
Organism: Acanthosepion pharaonis
Lineage: Eukaryota; Metazoa; Mollusca; Cephalopoda; Sepiida; Sepiidae
Source: the annotation of a GenBank genome assembly